RNAcentral lists this ribosomal RNA (62 nucleotides) under uncultured organism. RNAcentral's name for it is "partial 16S ribosomal RNA". The record is from RNAcentral.
UGGGCUUGACAUGCCCUGAAUCCUGCAGAGAUGCGGGAGUGCCCUUCGGGGAAUCGGAACAC